GGACCUAAGGCGAGGCCGACAGGCGUAGUCGAUGGACAACGGGUUGAUAUUCCCGUACCGGCGAAAAACCGCCCAUACCGAACAGGGGACACUAACCGCCCGAAACCUGCCCGACCGCCCUUGUGGUGGAAGGGUUUUGGUGGAGCGCGGGACCUGAGCCUGGGAGGUAAGCGUAUUAACAGGUGUGACGCAGGAAGGUAGCCAAGCCGGGCGAUGGUUGUCCCGGUCUAAGGAUGUAGGGCAGGACGUAGGCAAAUCCGCGUCCUUGUGUUCAAUCACGGGCCUGAGAUCUGAUGGGACCCCCGUAUGGGGGAAUUUGGUGAUCCUAUGCUGCCGAGAAAAGCAUCGGCGCGAGGUUUUAGCCGCCCGUACCCCAAACCGACACAGGUGAUCAGGUAGAGAAUACUAAGGCGAUCGAGAGAAUUAUGGUUAAGGAACUCGGCAAAAUGCCCCCGUAACUUCGGGAGAAGGGGGGCCCCAACCGUGACGGCGACUUGCUUGCCAGAGCGGAUCGGGGCCGCAGAGACCAGGGGGAAGCGACUGUUUACUAAAAACACAGGUCCGUGCGAAGUCGCAAGACGAUGUAUACGGACUGACUCCUGCCCGGUGCUGGAAGGUUAAGAGGACCGGUUAGUUCCGCGCUUGCGCGGUGCGAAGCUGGGAAUUUAAGCCCCAGUAAACGGCGGUGGUAACUAUAACCAUCCUAAGGUAGCGAAAUUCCUUGUCGGGUAAGUUCCGACCUGCACGAAUGGAGUAACGACUUCCCCGCUGUCUCAACCAUAAACUCGGCGAAAUUGCAGUACGAGUAAAGAUGCUCGUUACGCGCAGCAGGACGGAAAGACCCCGAGACCUUCACUAUAGUUUGGUAUUGGUGUUCGGUGUGGCUUGUGUAGGAUAGGUGGGAGACUGUGAAGCCCGGACGCCAGUUCGGGUGGAGUCAUCGUUGAAAUACCACUCUGGUCACUCUGGAUAUCUAACUUCGGCCCGUAAUCCGGGUCAGGGACAGUGCCUGAUGGGUAGUUUAACUGGGGCGGUUGCCUCCUAAAAAGUAACGGAGGCGCCCAAAGGUUCCCUCAGCCUGGUUGGCAAUCAGGUGGCGAGUGUAAGUGCACAAGGGAGCUUGACUGUGAGAGAGACAUCUCAAGCAGGGACGAAAGUCGGGACUAGUGAUCCGGCGGCACAUUGUGGAAUGGCCGUCGCUCAACGGAUAAAAGGUACCCCGGGGAUAACAGGCUGAUCUUGCCCAAGAGUCCAUAUCGACGGCAUGGUUUGGCACCUCGAUGUCGGCUCGUCGCAUCCUGGGGCUGGAGUAGGUCCCAAGGGUUGGGCUGUUCGCCCAUUAAAGCGGUACGCGAGCUGGGUUUAGAACGUCGUGAGACAGUUCGGUCCCUAUCCGCUGCGCGCGCAGGAAAUUUGAGAAGGGCUGUCCUUAGUACGAGAGGACCGGGACGGACGAACCUCUGGUGUGUCAGUUGUACUGCCAAGUGCACCGCUGAUUAGCUACGUUCGGAUGGGAUAACCGCUGAAAGCAUCUAAGCGGGAAGCCCGCUUCAAGAUGAGAUUUCCAUACACCUAACCGUGUGAGAGGCCCCCAGCCAGACCACUGGGUUGAUAGGCCGGAUGUGGAAGCAGGGACCAACGACCUGCGAAGCUGACCGGUACUAAUAAGCCGAUAACUUACACCA
Molecule: ribosomal RNA, 1685 nt
Filed under: uncultured Arthrobacter sp.
Lineage: Bacteria; Bacillati; Actinomycetota; Actinomycetes; Micrococcales; Micrococcaceae
Description: LSU rRNA
Rfam family: Bacterial large subunit ribosomal RNA
Source: RNAcentral